Molecule: small nucleolar RNA, 107 nt
Filed under: Helianthus annuus (common sunflower)
Lineage: Eukaryota; Viridiplantae; Streptophyta; Magnoliopsida; Asterales; Asteraceae
Description: sRNA HanXRQr2_Chr10g0425551
Rfam family: Plant small nucleolar RNA R71
About the family: R71 is a member of the C/D box family of snoRNAs containing the C (UGAUGA) and D (CUGA) box motifs. Multiple nearly identical copies of this snoRNA have been identified in Arabidopsis, and it is thought to function as a 2'-O-ribose methylation guide for 18S ribosomal RNA.
Source: Rfam by way of RNAcentral
AGGCCGUGAUGGGGACACUUGCGUAAUAGUUCCUUGAACCUUUCCCAAGUUUCAUAUAAGGAUUCCCCAUCCUCUUGUGAGUAUGUAUUAAUUUCAGCCAUUAAUUU